RNAcentral lists this long non-coding RNA (810 nucleotides) under Vigna radiata. RNAcentral's name for it is "long non-coding RNA (VRAD_LNC010747)". The record is from RNAcentral. Lineage: Eukaryota; Viridiplantae; Streptophyta; Magnoliopsida; Fabales; Fabaceae.
GCACUUUUUGUUUUAUUUUUUUGAAAAAAAUAUCGCACUUUGUCAGUGUUCACAAGUCACUGUGACAACAACCUAGAGUUAUUAUUGUAUUGGACACUAAACAAACCAUCAAGUCCAUUUGAGUUUAUUGGGCUUUUUCAAUUGGGCCGAUAGUGAGUUUUAUCUUGGGCCUGGCAAAUUGAACUUCCAUUUAGAUUCGGGCAAUUGUUUCCUGCACUCCAUCAAUUUCUUCCUGCAUACCCUCAGUUUUUGGAAUUCCAAAAUUUAUCCUUGCUAGUUUUAUUUGAAACUGGCCUUCUUCAUGGAGACUGGUUUGUGGGGGGCUGCUGUGACGUGGUUUUAGUAGAUUUGUUGGGUCGUUGUUUUGGCUGUUUCACUCUGCACCUUCAAGCAACUUCAAUCAUUUCAUCCUACACAUCCAAGUCCCGGUUUCUGUGUAUAAAUAAAUCCAACACAUAAACAAUAUUUAGUACUUCACCAGAAUGAUAAAUUAGAAGCUGGUUUUCUUAAAAAAAUAAUUCAGCACUUAACAUCUUGACUGAAAUAAAUAAAUACGAAAAAUAAACCGAAAAAUAAAAAUAAAAAGAAAGACACAGUCAGUUGUUGCGUGAUGUGUAAUGGUUGAAGCUGGAAAAGAAAUUUAAAACUAAGGAUUCAGUAUAAUUGGGUUGUAUAAAGCCGAAGAAAGUUGUGUUUAUGUGAUAAACCUACAUGUGAAUCGUCCAAUGAAGCAGGAAGAAAGAACUCCAAUAAAAGGUCAAAAGAAAAAAAAAAAAAGAAUCCCUAUUAAGAACGCAUGGUAUCCCCAAC